RNAcentral lists this ribosomal RNA (411 nucleotides) under uncultured microorganism. Its description in RNAcentral is "bacterial SSU rRNA". It matches the Rfam family "Archaeal small subunit ribosomal RNA", at positions 459 to 872 of the family's 1478-position model. The record is from RNAcentral.
CAGCCGCCGCGGUAAUACCAGCCCCGCGAGUGGUCGGGACGGUUAUUGGGCCUAAAGCGCCCGUAGCCGGCCCGGCAAGUCCCUCCUUAAAGCCUCGGGCCCAACCCGAGGACGGGGGGGAUACUGCCGGGCUAGGGGGCGGGAGAGGCCGGCGGUACUCCCGGGGUAGGGGCGAAAUCCGUUAAUCCCGGGAGGACCACCAGUGGCGAAGGCGGCCGGCUGGAACGCGCCCGACGGUGAGGGGCGAAAGCCGGGGGAGCGAACCGGAUUAGAUACCCGGGUAGUCCCGGCUGUAAACGCUGCGGGCUAGGUGUCGGGAGUUCCUUGGGAACUCCCGGUGCCGAAGGGAAGCCGGAAGCCCGCCGCCUGGGGAGUACGGCCGCAAGGCUGAAACUUAAAGGAAUUGGCGGG